UGGUUGCAGCCCAGUGGCUCCUGGUCACUUUCUGCCCCCACUUCCUGCCCUUUGCAAGGUGGAUGAUGGCCUCCAGUGCUCCGUUGGCUUUGUCCUCACCACAGGAAAGCACAGAAGAGUUUGAACUUUGCCUCAUCUAGGCUCUCAUUCCCAUGGGAGAGCCGGCCUUGCUGCACUCGCUGUACACAAUGCUGCUCCUUGCCGGCUCCUGAGCGUGGAGACACAAGAAUGGAGCGCCGUCCUCUGGGACAGGUGACAUUGGGCGGAGGUGGCGCCCGGAGGGCUGCAGCCACCUGCUACAGCCUCCCUGGUGCUUUCAGAGACGUGGGCUGCUGGGUUACAAAGGGCUGUCAGAUCAAGUUCAAACAAAACACCUGGCCCGGCCUGACCUGCUCAGAAAAUCAAUAGCGGCACCGGCUGUGAAAUGAGAGCAUAGACGGAUUACCGCCUCUCCGCGAACCCUCAUCGCACUGCCGCUGUAUUUGGAAGCAGAUCCUGGAAGGUGAAAAUCGAAAGCCCGAGACUGGCUCAGCAGCUGAAAUGACUGCUUCCUCUUGCAGAGGACCUGAGUUUGGGAUUCCCAGCACCCACUCUGGGCAGCUCACAGCUUUCUCUCUACAGCAUUCAGAAAGCAAGUCAACUAAACACAAUGGGAUCCAGCCUGAGGUUGAAUUGAAACUGGACUCCACGAAGGCCGAGCUUUUAAUGGCUCUUGAUGUGAUCUCACCUGCAGAGAGCAGACGCAGAGGUUGUUCUGGGGCUCUGCAGACUUCUCUGUCCUCAAAGCAACAAUCUCUGCGUCCCCAGACGGAGGGCUCCAGUCGCAGCUGUUGAGAAAGCAAGUGCCCGGCAGCUGGUUCUUGGGAAUCAAUAAACACAAUGUCAUUUAA
This is a long non-coding RNA of Meriones unguiculatus (Mongolian gerbil), 890 nucleotides long. RefSeq lists it as uncharacterized. The transcript is spliced from 5 exons. NCBI's taxonomy places the organism in Eukaryota, Metazoa, Chordata, Mammalia, Rodentia, Muridae. The record is from RefSeq and is a predicted model, not a curated record.